UGAUGUCCUCACGCUAUUAGAAGCUGAUGGUAAAAUCAGAUCUUUGAUUGAAAUUAAACUGCCGGGGAGGAAAAGAAGGAAGGAAAGACAGAGGGAUAAAAGGAGAGGAGGAAAGAAAGAAUUGACCUAUGUCACUGAUAGAACACUAGCAAAGUCAAGAUGCCUCACCAUAAAACAUGGGCUCAAAUAAGAAAAGCCAGCGUACUGAGAAAGGACGCUGCUGGGGUCCAGCCCGACUGGUUCACCAGGAGAUUACAGCCUUCGUCAUCCAAACACGGCGACAUCUCGCACCACUGUCGACUCCACACGAUACGAACUGAGGGAGAAGAGGAGGAGGAGAGACAGAAACGACACACAGUGAACCCACAAAUCAAACAACCAAACCUGAACCAGAGGGAGGCUGUUUGGAUUCAUACAAUGGAUGCAUUGGUCUCAGUAAGGACACAGAUAUCUUGUUUUCUUUUCCCUCUGUCUUUACGGCCUUUUGGGAUGUUAUAUUAUGUGUAUAGGUGGCGAUUUGGUAUGUUUUAACCUUUUGUGUCCUCUCAUCUCUUGUUUUAUCAUUGCUCCAUUGCUCCAAAUGGCUGUGGCUGCUGUAAAGGUGAGGCCACAUGGUUUGGGUGGGGCCUCGAUUAGGACCUGAUGGUUGAAAGGUGUUGGCUUUUUUUUUAAUGAUUUGGCCACAACAGUAAAAGCUUUUUAAAUUUCCUUUGUUGUUCUUAAUAAUUUUGUGGAUUGUUUUUGGAAUCUCCCUUUUUCCAAGAGUACCUAAAACAUUUUUUUCCCGACAUUUUGUUAAAUAGAGCAACCAGUCAUUGUCUCUUUUUUACAUGUAAGCUAGAACAUCAUAUAAUGUCUUUCUUGUAAAAUUUAAAAAAUAAAGUAUGACUUCAGUCUGAAAACAUUACAACUAAUAAAGUUGUUUUGACCGAAUGAGUCUAUUUUAUUUUAUCUGACUUGUUUUGUGUCUGUGUAACUACUUCAAGUGCUUUAUUUGCCCCCCGGGGACAAAUGAAGCACUUGAAGUAGUUGUACAGACUAUUGAAUUUAAUUGAAAUGUUUAAAUUCAUUUUGUCUUGAAGUAACAGCUAUUUCUUGUAAAAUUACUUGUAUUUUCAUAUGUCUUGAAAUUACAACUUUGUUCUCACAAAUAUAUACUACAGUGUCAUUUUCAUCAGACUUUGUUACAAAUUACAACUUUGUUAUUUAGCCUUUAUUCUUUAA
Molecule: long non-coding RNA, 1224 nt
Organism: Acanthopagrus latus (yellowfin seabream)
Lineage: Eukaryota; Metazoa; Chordata; Actinopteri; Spariformes; Sparidae
Exons: 3
Source: RefSeq, a predicted model, not a curated record